UGCAUGUCUCAGUAUAAGCUUUUAUACGGGUAAACCGCCAAUGGCUCAUUAAAACAGUUAUUCUUUAUUUGAUAUGGUCGCAAGGUUGAAGCUUAAAUGAAUUGACCGAAAGUCACCUCCCCCAAUGGAGCCUGCUGCUUAAUUUGACUGCAACACCGGUAAACUUACCCGGUCCAGACAUAAUAAGGAUUGACCCAUUGAUAACUCUUUCUUGAUUCAAUGGGUGGUGGUGCAUGGCCGUUCUUACUUGGAGGAGUGAUUUGUCUGGUUAAUUCCGUUAACCAACGACACCUUAACCUGCUAAAUAAUUGCUCCUAACUUCAGUUACAUGGGCAACUUCUUAUAGGGACUUUGCUUGUCUAACACAAGGAAGUUUGAGGCAAUAACAGGUCGGUGAUGCCCUUAGAUGUUCUGGGCUGCACGCGCACUACACUGAUGCUCUCAACUAGUUUACGACCUUGCCCGGAAAGGUUGGGUAAUCUUCGUAAACCACAUCGUGAUGGGGAGAGAUUAUUGCCAUUAUUAA
Molecule: ribosomal RNA, 526 nt
Filed under: uncultured eukaryote
Lineage: Eukaryota
Description: bacterial SSU rRNA
Rfam family: Eukaryotic small subunit ribosomal RNA (bases 69-526)
Source: RNAcentral